Molecule: ribosomal RNA, 1259 nt
Filed under: Macrocheraia grandis grandis
Lineage: Eukaryota; Metazoa; Arthropoda; Insecta; Hemiptera; Largidae
Description: 16S ribosomal RNA
Rfam family: Archaeal large subunit ribosomal RNA (bases 828-1191)
Source: RNAcentral
UAAGUAUUAUAUUAUUAUUAUAUAUUUUGUUUAUUUUAUAUUUAGUAAAAAUAAUUUGUUGUUUAGUAAUGUUUUAUGAAUAAUGUUUAUUUUAUUAUAGUUUAUUGUACUGUAAAGGAAUUAUUAUUUUUUUGUAAAAGUAUACUUUUUGUAGUACCUUUUGUAUCAGGGUUUAUUAAAAUUUAUUUAAUUAUAUUAAUUUUCCCGAAAGUAAAGGAUAUAAGAUUAUAUAAUUUUUUAUGUUUUAUAAUAAUUUUUAAUAUAAUCUUAGGAAUUAUAUGUUAUUCAUUUUUAUAUAUCUGGUUCUUUAAUAAUUAAAUUUAAUUUAUGAUAUUUAUUUAGUUUAUUUAUAUUUUUAUUUAUUUAAAUUUAAAUUUCAAGGAUUACUAGGGAUAAGCUUGGUAUUUAUUCUAUAAUUUUAUUAUUAUUUAAAUUCUGUAGGAUUAAUAACGUCCAUCUUUAAUUUCGUUAUAGUUUUGUUUAAAUUUGUAUUUUAUUUAAUGAUUAUUUAGUUUUUUAUUAAAGUAAAUUAUUUAAUUAUAUUUUGUUUGUAAUAAUGAUAGAAUUAGUAGAUUAUAAAUUUAUAUUUAGUAACUCGGCAAUUAAUAUUCCCGCCUGUUUAACAAAAACAUGUCUUAUAGAUAAUAAUUUUAAGUCUGGCCUGCUCAAUGAAUUUAUUUUAAUAGCCAUGGUAUUUUAACUAUGCAAAGGUAGCAUAAUCAUUUGUCUUUUAAUUGAAGGCUUGUAUGAAAGGUUUGACGAGGGAUAGACUUUCUUAAUUUAAAUUUAAUUUAAUUUAAUAUCUGAGUAAAAAGGCUUAGAUAGUGUUUUGGGACGAGAAGACCCUAUAGAAUUUUAUUAUUAUAUUAAUGUUCUUGUUAUUGUAUUAAUGGGGAUUUAUUUAUAAUAAUUUUGUUGGGGCGACAGUAGAAUUUCUUUAACUUCUAUUCUUUAUAUUUCAUUAAUUAGUGUUUUAAUGAUCCUUUAUUAUGGAUUAUAAGAUUAAAUUACCUUAGGGAUAACAGCGUAAUUUUUUUGGAGAGUUCUUAUCGAUGAAAUAGUUUGCGACCUCGAUGUUGGAUUAAAGUUAAUUAUUGGUGCAGAAAUUAAUAAAUUAGGUCUGUUCGACCUUUAAAUCUUUACAUGAUCUGAGUUCAGACCGGCGUGAGCCAGGUUGGUUUCUAUCUAAAAUUUUUUUAAAUAGUUUAGUACGAAAGGAUCUACUAUUUUUAAUACUUAAUUUAUUUUUGAUUUAUAUU